UACGUAGGGGGCUAGCGUUGUCCGGAAUCAUUGGGCGUAAAGCGCGUGUAGGCGGCCCGGUAAGUCCGCUGUGAAAGUCGGGGGCUCAACCCUCGAAUGCCGGUGGAUACUGUCGGGCUAGAGUGCGGAAGAGGCGAGUGGAAUUCCUGGUGUAGCGGUGAAAUGCGCAGAUAUCAGGAGGAACACCGAUUGCGAAGGCAGCUCGCUGGGACGUCACUGACGCUGAGACGCGAAAGCGUGGGGAGCAAACAGG
Molecule: ribosomal RNA, 253 nt
Filed under: uncultured bacterium
Lineage: Bacteria
Description: partial 16S ribosomal RNA
Rfam family: Bacterial small subunit ribosomal RNA
Source: RNAcentral